GCUGGGGUACUUGGAGGGGAGGGGUCCUGGGUGGGAAGGAGGCUGCUGGGGAGACCCUGCAACUCAUUUCCGCCCUAGGACAAUGGCAACAAGGUCAGGCUGUUGCAUGAAGUGCCAGCAUAGCCCGUGGUGGUCAGCUGCCUCCCAUAACCAUUGUUUCCCUUGUAUUUUUGGUUUACUAAGCAAGUGAUAAGCCAGAUCUUCCAUCGAUUCGGAGCCUCCAGAGGCUUGCUUGUAUGUAUCCCUCCCACUCCUGCUUACAGAAUGCCUCAGAAAAUACUUGUGGAUUUGAUGGCAGCUUUAAUCUAUAAGAAAGAAAGAAUAACUGGAAUGCCUUUGCAAAGUUACGUUCCACCCAGUUCCCGCCCUCAGGAAGCUCAGGGUGACAUGGGAAGUUUGGGAUGGGCACAGUUUAUUACAAGGCAGAAAGGGACCAUUGGGUGCUACUAUCCUAAGAUAUUUUCAGAAAAUGGUAGGCCAAGGAUAGGAAUAUGAGAAAUAAGUUUGAGCUUAGGGGCCAGGGUAGGUGUCCUGGAGAAGUGGGGCCUGCGGGAUGCAUCGGGGAGGAAAUGCAGGACGCCCCUGACUCCCUGCACAUUGCGGGAGUUGAGUGGACACACGAGGACAGGGCUGUGGGGGCCUGCAGUGAGGGCAAGGAGCUGUUCCUGUCCAUUCUCUGUGCUGAGUUUCAGGAGCUUCCAUCCUUUUCUUUGGCCCAUAUCAAACUGGCAAGAAUGGCUGGGAGAGCAACUGUCUGUGCCAAGCUCACUCAGCUCCAAGAAGCUCCCAUGUAUCCUUGGUGUCAGGGCACCCGUCCUCACCCAGCCUGAGCACUGGGAAACAUGCUCCUCUGGCUCUGGGCCUCUGUCCCUGUUGAGCAGUGGAGUGGCCAGGCUCUGAAGUCAGAGGGGCCCAGAGGCAGCUCGGCCAAGCUGCCCACCUCCCCUUCCUCUCCAGACCCUCCCCACACCAGAUCCUUCUCCAUAUUAAAAAAUAUAUAUAGUCCUUCAGUAUAGUUCAUGAGAGAAAACAACAACAAAAGAAUUUUCUUAAUAAUGGUACCAGAGUCAGGAAGCAGGCCGUGGGAUCCCAGGGGAGAGCGGGUAGGUAGAUACAGCUACAGCCAUAGCAGUCAGCUUGUACCCCUGGAGUGCAGUGGUUGAGAUGGAGAAGUCAAUUACCAGGCAGCACAGCUGUUUUUUAAAACUUUCUCCUGAAAGCAGGGACGUUGUUCACACUAAUGCUAACGGUCGUCCAGCACCGGCUGCCACGUUGCUGCAGCUGGAAAUGGGGGCUUCGGCAGUGAUUCCUGGAGCGUAGGUCCGCUUUCUUGCUAGACUCUUGCCUAAGUUCACUAUGAUGUCAUCCUGAGUGUGUCUGUUUCCUCACAGUUUGAACAGGAAAAUCAGCGACUAAUUGGUGAAAUGAACAGCUUGUUUGAUGAAGUGAGGCAAAUCGAAGGGAGAGUGGUUGAGAUUUCCAGACUCCAAGAGAUAUUCACGGAAAAGGUUUUGCAACAGGAAGCUGAGAUUGACAGCAUUCACCAGUUAGUUGUGGGGGCAACGGAAAAUAUCAAGGAAGGCAACGAAGACAUAAGAGAGGUAGGCACUGUGUAGGUUCCCCAGGUGCGACGUGGCGCAGCACUGAGUCCCAGCAGCGGGUGUUAGUCUCGCCGGCACAGCUGCCCAGGAGCCUUGCUGGGCAGAGCUCACAGGGCUGAUCACAAAAUUGUGUGACCGUGAGGCCACGGUCCGUUCCAGCGGAGCUGCGUGUGUUCAUGAGACCCACCACCUGUCGCCCACCUCCAGCUGCUUUCGAGAGGCAGUGGCUCAGCAGCCUCCAAAAGAGCCAUCCAGGGUGGGUGGGGUACUCCUGGCAGGGUCAGGCCAGCUCUUCAUGUCCAGGGGUGUACGUGGGUAGCUCGCUGGCCCCCACCGAGGGGUCAGAGCCUGGCCCUUGCUUACCGAGGACACUGCAGCCAUCCUGUUGAGGGGACCGUUUCCCAAGCUCAGUCCUCAGGGUUGGGUCACCACGGACAUCGUGUUACUGGGAAACACAAAGCUUGCGGUCACACUCUGCUCGGGGCCUUUAACCCUGGGACAGAAGGGAGUGAUUCCGAGAGUUGUGUUGAGGGAGAAUUGUGCAGGACCCAAAUGAUGGCCAAACAGAGGGAAAUAGAACCCAUUUGUCUUCUGGUGGAUCUCAAAAGCCAUCUAUUCAAGGUAAGCACAGAUGGAACGACACCCAUAGUUACAGCCAGGAUCAGGAGAGCACGUGGGAAGAGGGGGGCAUUUCAGGGCUGCUCAAACCAAAAUCCUGUGUGAUAAAAACACCUGUGCUCCCGUCCCUGCCCAGGCCAUUAAAAACAACGCUGGCUUCCGCGUGUGGAUCCUCUUCUUCCUCGUGAUGUGCUCCUUCUCCUUGCUCUUCCUCGACUGGUACGACAGCUAGCCGGGGCCACGGGGGCCCAGCACGAGAGUCCUCAUGGGCACUCACAGACUGCGUGCUUUCGUGUACUUCCAGUGCUGGAGCAUGGUAUGACCAGAUUUUAUCACAGUGCCAUUUGAAGGGAAAGGAGUUCAGACAGACAGACGUAUUCCCCAAAAAGGGAUACCCCAGGCCGAUGGUGUUCAGCCCAUUUAGCAGCUGAAAAAGGAAACAGUGCACACCAAUGGGAGGCAGCCUGCGUAGCCCUCAUCAGGCAAGACAGACUGAAUGCAGGAGCGGGUGAUUAGCUGCUCCUGAACUUGAGGCUGCCUUGGCAGGGGGGCUGCUCCAGUAGCAGGGGCACAGCAGGCCUCAAGAGCCCCUAAUUGUCUCAGGGUUCAAAGGAAGACACUGACCUUUCCCAUCCCGGUAGCUUCAGGGAAGAUCAUAGUUAAUAACGUCUCUCAACAAAUGAUUACUUCUUUGUUUCCUUGUGGCUUCUUGUCUGUCUCAGUCAACGAAUACACAGACUUACUGGAUUAUAGAAGAGAAAAUUCACAUCUGCCUUGUUAAUCUAAUAAAUAUAAUUACAGCCCCUUAAUGUGUUGUCAAUGAGUCUAAGUUGACAAAUUCAGUGGCAGCCCAGCCACCUCCUAUCAAUCAAUCAGGGAAGAAAUGCAGGGGAGACUGGGGCCCUCAGUGAGGGGCUGCCUGGCAUUACUCCUCCAAAGACUGCUGCCCCCAGAGCAGGCAGGGGGUGUGGGAGGGCCAGUUUCCCGCCACUGGGUCCAAGGAGCCUUUGUUCAAAGGAAGAAGUGGGCCACGGAAGAACGGGCCUGCUUCUCCCGUGCCUGUGCUUCUGACCUCCAGGAACUGUAAACACGAACACCUAUGUGUAACUGAAGGCGUGAGACAUCUGUAAAGAAAGCAUCCCAGCGCCCACAUGGGCAUGAGACAGUCUGCACUGCGCCUGGUGAAAUGCGUGUGUGUACAGACAGUCCACUGGGCAGCACAGGUAUCCUCAUGUUCUUUAUUUGCACAGAGUGAAAUGUCAGAAGUUACAUGUAAAUGAAUUCACAGUCAAUAAAGUCCACGUCUACCUGGAAA
Molecule: small RNA, 3534 nt
Filed under: Pan troglodytes (chimpanzee)
Lineage: Eukaryota; Metazoa; Chordata; Mammalia; Primates; Hominidae
Description: retained intron
Source: RNAcentral